CCUACGGGUGGCAGCAGUGGGGAAUAUUGGGCAAUGGGCGCAAGCCUGACCCAGCAACGCCGCGUGAAGGAAGAAGGCUUUCGGGUUGUAAACUUCUUUUCUCAGGGACGAAGCAAGUGACGGUACCUGAGGAAUAAGCCACGGCUAACUACGUGCCAGCAGCCGCGGUAAUACGUAGGUGGCAAGCGUUAUCCGGAUUUAUUGGGUUAAAAGGGUGCGUAGGCGGUCCGUUAAGUCAGCGGGAAAGUUGCGGGGCUCAACGCCGUCGAGCCGUGGAAACUGGCAGACUUGAGUGGGCGAGAGGUACGCGGAAUGCGCGGUGUAGCGGUGAAAUGCAUAGAUAUCGCGCAGAACUCCGGUGGCGAAGGCAGCGUACUGGCGCCAGACUGACGCUGAGGCACGAAAGCGUGGGGAUCGAACAGGAUUAGAUACCCUAGUAGUC
Molecule: ribosomal RNA, 442 nt
Filed under: uncultured bacterium
Lineage: Bacteria
Description: partial 16S ribosomal RNA
Rfam family: Bacterial small subunit ribosomal RNA
Source: RNAcentral